RNAcentral lists this ribosomal RNA (371 nucleotides) under uncultured bacterium. RNAcentral's name for it is "bacterial SSU rRNA". It matches the Rfam family "Bacterial small subunit ribosomal RNA", at positions 527 to 896 of the family's 1533-position model. The record is from RNAcentral.
GUAGGUGGCAAGCGUUGUCCGGAUUUACUGGGCGUAAAGGGCGUGCAGGCGGUCUGCUAAGUCUAGGGUGAAAGCUCCCGGCUCAACUGGGAGAGGUCCUUGGAUACUGGCGGACUUGAGGGAGGUAGAGGAGAGUGGAAUUCCCGGUGUAGUGGUGAUAUGCGUAGAUAUCGGGAGGAACACCAGUGGCGAAGGCGGCUCUCUGGGCCUUUCCUGACGCUGAGACGCGAAAGCGUGGGGAGCGAACCGGAUUAGAUACCCGGGUAGUCCACGCCGUAAACUAUGGACACUAGGUGUGGGGGGUAUCGACCCCUUCCGUGCCGAAGCUAACGCAAUAAGUGUCCCGCCUGGGGAGUACGGCCGCAAGGCUA